GCCGGUGACCUUACCGGAGGGGCCACACCUGAUUCCAUCCCGAACUCAGAAGUUAAGCCCUCCAGGGCCGAUGGUACUUCGCGGGCAGCUGCGUGGGAGAGUAGGUCGUUGCCGGCC
This 117-nucleotide ribosomal RNA is filed under the name Myxococcota bacterium. The record is from RNAcentral. Lineage: Bacteria; Pseudomonadati; Myxococcota.